UAUGAGCGUGUCGUGGUAGGGAACCAACCUUUGUGCAUCCAAAUGCUCCACAACUGGAAUGGCCUCUGCACAAUUCACGUCAAUGGGAUGGUGGUGCAUCUUGUAAACAUCUUGAAUGAAAAGUAAUGCAGGUGGGGAUGGGAAAAGAGGCUCUGCUGUGCAAGAGGAGAUGAAGCAGACUUCCAACACUAUAUUUUAAUCUGCAUGUAAUACUGGAUUUCUCCACCUUCAGAAACUUGAAGUCUUUUUUGAACACAUCAUUGCUCAUAGAACAUAGAGGUUGUGUGUUAUGCUAUUUCAAAUUACUGUGCCUAAACUAUCUGUUGCAAUGUAUUGUGAAAAACAUGUACUUCAUGUAUUUGUUUUGGAAUGUAAGCGUGUGGGGCAAAAUAAGAAUGAAAAACCUCCUAAAAUAUUUGAGGGCCUCAGAAUUAUUUAAUCCUCUUCUUUCUAUGCUCUCUGGUUUGUUUCACAGUCAUGACAUUUGUGUCUUGAGAUUCUCAGUGGGACUUGAAAUAUUGCUUGCCUAAUUUCAGAGCAAAGACAUCAGAUUGAUGUUGGCUGUAUCAUUUGCAGGUGUAUGUUGUUAUGUUCCUAUUAGACUGUAGGGGUGUUUUUGGAAUUGUGCUCCUGAAAUGUCUUAACUCUGUUCAUUUCUCUCUCUCUUCUUCCUUGGAAGGCCAUGGUUGUGCUCAUGCUCACCGAAGAGAUGCAAAGCCUAGUUACACCACCAUAGGCCAAGGAGAAGCAAAUGGGGCCAUGCUGUUGCUUCAGCCUCUGCUUUUGAGUUUUACUUCUGCUGCAUCCUGUGAAUUGUGAUAUGUAAAUCUCUGUUGACCAUAAAUCCCCAGUCUUGUCAGAAUGAAUGCAGAUCAUAGAAGGGAAAGGAAGGGUAGGAUGCAUUUUAAUGUUUUUAAGCUUUGCUGAGGACAUCUGGCCUGUGGUGAUUUGCUUAAAAGAGGAUUAAUUGUAACGCAAACUCAGGAAGAAUGGGGAUUCUUUAGUGACAAGUGUCAAGUAUACAGGAAAUGUAUUGUUUAUAGGAGCCAGUGGAAUCAAAACAGAAUUAUAAAACCUUUCCAGGAUCUCCCUGAUGUUUCAAAAUGCUUCAGAGAAAUCCAUUAUAUCUGGAGAAUUUCCCCAGCAGGAAUUCUUCAUGUAAUAGAGUUUUGUCCUCAAUGUCUUCCGUUUGAAUAAAGAACUUCUUUGAAAUCCAGAGUUACAGCAAGUGAAGUGAAGCUAAAUUGUGUUUGCCUUACGCACAGAAGUGCUUUGCACAAACACAGUUUUGUCAGCAAAUAGACUGUUACUCGUUAAAUGAGAGUGUUUGUGCCACGUAAUUAAAGUUCCACGGUCUGGCUUACUUGUUGCAGAUGAUAGACACCAAUAUAGACCCACAGCUUUAUCCCCGUGGAUGAACAUCUGCAGCCCCACAGCCUUACUACCUGAGGGAGGACUCACUAACCCCAGGCAUAUCUACCUGGUGAGCUGGAGGCUGGUAUAGAGAUAUCCAAGCUAGCAGAGAUCCCAGACAGUGUGGAUUUCCGAUGUGGCUCUGAAUGCAGCUCAGCCAUUUUUUGUGAAGUAUGGUGCUCAGACUAAUAAAUCUGCCCCAGAAAAGUCUUUGGCUGUGGUCUUGCAGAUACACAAGGGGACAGAUUCAUAAAGUGAACCAGAUCUGUGACAGGUUUUCUGAAGGGUGACACUGCGCCAGCUGGACUUCCUAGUAACAGCAGCACUCACUAGUUUUGAAAAUGAAAUGUUGAGAACAGAGAAGUGCUGAUUUCAGAAUAACGUGGAGGUCAGCUAUUACAGUCUUUGUAUGAAAUAAAUAUUGGAUACCAAUAAAUAAGUGACGUUACACUCUGAAA
Harpia harpyja (harpy eagle) is the source of this 1871-nucleotide long non-coding RNA. RefSeq lists it as uncharacterized. The record is from RefSeq and is a predicted model, not a curated record. Lineage: Eukaryota; Metazoa; Chordata; Aves; Accipitriformes; Accipitridae. The transcript has 2 exons.